RNAcentral lists this ribosomal RNA (118 nucleotides) under Escherichia coli. Its description in RNAcentral is "partial 23S ribosomal RNA". The stretch from base 1 to 106 matches the Rfam family "Bacterial large subunit ribosomal RNA", at positions 2820 to 2925 of the family's 2925-position model. Lineage: Bacteria; Pseudomonadati; Pseudomonadota; Gammaproteobacteria; Enterobacterales; Enterobacteriaceae. The record is from RNAcentral. RNAcentral also lists the same sequence under 143 other names.
GAGUCUCCUGAAGGAACGUUGAAGACGACGACGUUGAUAGGCCGGGUGUGUAAGCGCAGCGAUGCGUUGAGCUAACCGGUACUAAUGAACCGUGAGGCUUAACCUUACAACGCCGAAG